Molecule: long non-coding RNA, 452 nt
Organism: Ictalurus punctatus (channel catfish)
Lineage: Eukaryota; Metazoa; Chordata; Actinopteri; Siluriformes; Ictaluridae
Source: Ensembl
CAACAAAGUUCUUGUUGUGCUUAGAACCGCACUGAGCAUAAUUCUGUGCAUAAUAUUCUUAGGCUUGUUUAAUUCAUAAGGUUCAAAGACAGAUGCUAAGAUAACUGUUUCAAAACACUGACUUUUCUGUGGAGCCUCUGAAUCACCAGGCAUGAAACAUCCCUAAAGCAUUAAUACUCCAUAUUUUACACCAGGUUGGGAAGUUCAGUCCAGACUCCUUCACAGAUUCCACCUCCUUCUGGAAGAUCCCCAGACCUUCGCAAAGCCUACUGUGAGAUAUAAUCUCUCCAACGGGUCCUAGAUUCAGCACCAGUGACUGAUCCAGCUCUAGCGGGAGACGACCAUCAGAGGAGGCAUCGAACCACAUUACCUGUCUCCUUUCGAUUGGGAGGAGCAGUGGAUCUAUGCGGAGACUCUCCCGGAUUAUCGUGCUCCUCACUCUAUAACAAAGA